AUCCACAGCCAUAUCACCCUGCAGCCCAAGACCAGUUACUCACUGAAGCUAAGCAGGGCUGAGCCUGGUCAGUACCUAGAUGGGAGACCACUUGGGAAAACCAGGUUGCUGUUUGAA
RNAcentral lists this ribosomal RNA (117 nucleotides) under Danio rerio (zebrafish). Lineage: Eukaryota; Metazoa; Chordata; Actinopteri; Cypriniformes; Danionidae. The record is from RNAcentral.